Molecule: long non-coding RNA, 767 nt
Filed under: Marmota monax (woodchuck)
Lineage: Eukaryota; Metazoa; Chordata; Mammalia; Rodentia; Sciuridae
Source: RNAcentral
GUUCCAUGUAUUGAAACUUCAAGCAAAAAACAGUUCCUUGGUUUUUGCUUGGUCUUGGUUUUGCUUAAGCUGCCUUCCCUUCCACCGCCUUAACUAGAUGGUGAGUUACCCCGUGAGAUCCCAGCUCCAGUCCAGUCACUUAUGAACUCAUCCUUGAGAGCUGGGUCUAGUCUCGCCAGCGUCUCCAAGCCUAGUUUAUCUGAUUUAAAAAAGAAGAAUAACCAUACAAAGAUGUUUUGAAGGUUAAGGUAAUGGUAGUGAAUUUCAAAGCAGGCUAGACCACAUGUGGAGAGUUUGACAUUAGAGAAUGGUACCUAUUGUUAUGGUCACAAAUGAAUCCUAACCAAGCAAUGAAGUGGAAUUUUUUUUUUCUCUGUUCUGACAGGAUCAGUGUUUGACCAAUGGUAUAUGAAGAUAAGUAAGAAGCCAAAAUGAUAUACAAUUUAAUGUUCAAAAUUAUGAUACCCACGUAUGAGAUAAUGUGAAAAGAUAAACUCUUGCAAGUUUUCUGCCAGUCCAGCAAUUUGUAUCAAGACUACUACAAAUUUUCACAUCCUUUAGCCCAGCAAUUACUCUUCUUGGAAUUUAUCCUAAAUCUAAUGAAAACCCUGAAAAGGUUUUUUGUUGUGUGUAUUUGUGUGUAGUGUGUGUCCAUUUAAAUAUACCAAAUGUCUAACAGUAAGUAUAUUGAUUAAGUCAUCACUUUCCAACCUCUCAUUUAGCCCAUAUUUUCCAAAGUGGGGGUGGGGGGCAGGGGUGUCCUCCGU